CACACCUGCUAUUUAAUAAGAAAAUAAGUGAGAGCCUCCACGCCAAGAUUAACUAAGAUAUGCUAAAUUGAUUAUUGACCUUUCUGGGAGAGCCCUGUGCAGGAUAGACAUGUGGGGGAGUGCUCACGGGGCCAUGGGACAUUUAGUAGGGAAUUGUAUACACACAAUCAAAGAAAGGUUUGGCUUGGAAUGAACCCUCAAAGUCCAUCUGGUUCCAAUCCCUGCCACCCUGAGCUUCACCAUUUUGGGGAGCAGAGGGUGACGGGCUGAAGCUGUGUGGGCUGGUGAAGACAUCACAGCCCAGUUGAUGCCAUACUGGUUGUCCAUAUGGUUGGGCUCUGGACCUGCUGUGGGAGGGUCCCCAUGCUGCUGGGUGGUCUGUGGGGGAAAGUUCCUUGCUGUUGAGUUACUCUGAAAAGAAGAAUUGGGGCUCUAGGACAUGGUUUUGUACCUGCUUUGCUUCUCAUGGACCCAACAGCCCACUUGAACUGCAUGGUGACGUUCUUUUUCUCUGCUUGCACAUCUAAGCAAAGAGCCUGGACCCUGCAUGGCACUGUGCUCCUGUUCUUCAUGGACAGCCUUAUGCAAGGGCUUCCAGGUCUGGAAGAGGCAUCAAGCAAGACAUCACAUGAAACUCACUGACCUUUACAGCUUCUGGACGUGGGACAUCCAAGGCAGCUGUGAUUGGUUUGGGCCUGAUCCAGAGGCUGGAAGGGUGAUGAUUAGCAGUGCUGAAGAGAAGGACCAGGAAGCAUUUUCUGCAGGAAAAUGUCAUUUUCUGGAGCAGAACGUGACAUCUAGAAGAGCCUUCUGUGAGUCAGUUCUUUGGGGAUUCCUGCUCCAUAGCAAUCUCUCCUAAACACUGCC
This 867-nucleotide long non-coding RNA is filed under the name Gallus gallus (chicken). RNAcentral's name for it is "lncRNA (ENSGALG00010020463.1)". Lineage: Eukaryota; Metazoa; Chordata; Aves; Galliformes; Phasianidae. The record is from RNAcentral.